GGGGCUGUAGUUUAACCUGGCUAGAAUAUUAAUAAAUAUAUGGCCGAAAUUGACGGCUCCAGACCGUUAGAUCAGGGUUCAAAUCCCUGCAGCCCCA
This 97-nucleotide transfer RNA is filed under the name Candidatus Woesearchaeota archaeon. Its description in RNAcentral is "tRNA-Trp". It matches the Rfam family "tRNA". From Rfam's summary of the family: Transfer RNA (tRNA) molecules are approximately 80 nucleotides in length. Their secondary structure includes four short double-helical elements and three loops (D, anti-codon, and T loops). Lineage: Archaea; Nanobdellati; Candidatus Woesearchaeota. The record is from RNAcentral.